This 253-nucleotide ribosomal RNA is filed under the name uncultured bacterium. Its description in RNAcentral is "partial 16S ribosomal RNA". It matches the Rfam family "Bacterial small subunit ribosomal RNA", at positions 524 to 776 of the family's 1533-position model. The record is from RNAcentral.
UACGUAGGGUGCAAGCGUUAAUCGGAAUUACUGGGCGUAAAGGGCUCGUAGGCGGCCAACUAAGUCAGACGUGAAAUCCCUCGGCUUAACCGGGGAACUGCAUCUGAUACUGGAUGGCUUGAGUUUGGGAGAGGGAUGCGGAAUUCCAGGUGUAGCGGUGAAAUGCGUAGAUAUCUGGAGGAACACCGGUGGCGAAGGCGGCAUCCUGGACCAACACUGACGCUGAGGAGCGAAAGCCAGGGGAGCAAACGGG